AGCCUUUGGAUUCUGAGUGCAUCUGACUCGACCAGACAGGUCUGGGGAAGAGAAAAAUUAACAGCAGAUGGAUUUAUGAAAAGAGGUUCCUUUGUUGGAGAGCAUGUUGCUGUGACAGUGAUAUCUGUAGAUGAUUUGUGAAGGAGUGCAGAGUCAUGGUCUUACUACUAAAAUCCACUAAAACAUCCCAUUCCCUUCUUCAGUAGUAGACACCUUCUCAUGUCAUGGAACAGAGCCACGAUACUUGGAGCAGGUAGGAGCAACUCCUUUAGGACAAGAUGAAUUGAGCACUGCAGUAGGUAAAGGAUGCUCCUCACCACGAGGAAAUAAUCCCCCAAGCAUACAUUAAUAAAAAAACUGAUGUAUGUAAAAAGAUUUUGCCCCUUUUUCAUAAUACUUGAGUAUUGCCUUGCUCCUUCUUAAUUUGAAGACAUUGAUAAUCACUGUAAAGUUUCAUGAUUAUUUUUAAUCUUGAUUCGUAGGUUAAUGAGAUCCUGUGGCAAUAAAUUUCACUAGUUAGUAGUGUUAAAUAAGGAGGGAUAUGAAAGAU
Molecule: long non-coding RNA, 550 nt
Filed under: Meleagris gallopavo (turkey)
Lineage: Eukaryota; Metazoa; Chordata; Aves; Galliformes; Phasianidae
Description: lncRNA (ENSMGAG00000019053.1)
Source: RNAcentral